CAUGCAUUACUGGAUUUUUGGACAGCUUUAUAGUAGAACUAUUGUCACAUAACACGGUAGUGCACUUUCCUUGAGAAUGACCAAGCUUCUCCAGUACUCUCCUCAUCCAUACUCCUUGACAAGCACAAGAAGCAGCUGCCACAAACUCUGCUUCAGUAGUUGACAAAGUAACCACAGGCUGCUUUUUAGAAGACCAUGCCACAGCUCCUUCACUGAGCAAAAACACAUAGCCAGAAGUACUUUUCCUAUCAUCCACAUCCCCUGCAUAGUCACUGUCUGUAUAUGCCAUUAGUUCACCAUUACCCUCCUUCUGAAAAAAAACUCCCAAAUCUACAGUACCUUUCAAGUACCUUAACACCCUUUUCGCAGCUUGCAGAUGCAUCUCAGUUGGACUUGCCAUGAACCUGCUAAUAAGACACACCACAUACAUCAAAUCUGGUCUUGUAGCAGUCAGAUACAUAAGACUUCCAACUAAUUGUUUGUAUUUAGUAGCAUCCACCUUAACUCCGUCUUCAUUCUUCGUUAAUCUAUCUCCAGGAACAAUGGGAUUCUUCACACUAUUACUUUUCUCCAUCCCAAACCUCUCCAACACUUCUUUUGCAUACUUCCUCUGACUAAUAUAAAUACCCUCAGAAUUUUGUAAAACCUCCACACCCAGAAAAUACUUCAUCUUUCCCAAAUCAGUCAUAUCAAAUUCAAGUUUCAUAGAAUUCUUGAAUUUAACAAACAUACUCUCAUCAUUACCAGUAAAAAUUAGAUCAUCAACAUAUAAGCUAACAAUCAAAAUUUUACCUCCAUCUCCUGUUUUGAUGAACAAUGUGUGAUCACAACUGCAUCUCUCAAACCCUUCCUUGAUAAAGUAUGCUUCAAUUCGACUAUACCAUGCACGAGGAGCUUGUUUAAGCCCAUACAAUGCCUUCUUUAGUUUGUACACCUUAUGCUCUUCACCUUUCUUUUCAUAGCCCUGUGGUUGCUCGAUAAACACUGCUUCAUUUAGCUCACCAUGUAAGAAAGCACUUUUGACAUCAAGCUGGUACACACUCCAACCAUUUCGAGCUGCUAAAGCAAUCACCAUUCUAAUUGUAUCCCACCUGGCCACAGGAGCAAACACCUCAGUAUAGUCUAUGCCAUGUUGUUGUGCAUACCCUUUUGCCACCAGCCGAGCUUUACACUUGUCAACCUUGCCAUUUUCAUUGAGUUUGGUUUUGAAAACCCACUUUACUCCAAUCUUCUUCACUCCUUCAGGCAAGUCCGUCAGCUCCCAAGUCUCAUUCCUUUCUAUUGCUUCUAUUUCCAAGUCCAUUGCAGCUCUCCACUUGGAACUUUGAACAGCUUCUUCAAAAAUAGUUGGAUCUGCAGUUGAGGUAAAUAGGACCAAGUUGUUGUGUUCAACAUCGCCUUCUGAAAAUUCUCCCCCACUCACAUAAUCUUCCAUCCAGAAUGGUACUCUUCUGUUCCUCCCUUGUUGUGAGCUUGGUGAGCUUUCUCCAGAUACUCCUGAAUUUUCACCAAGUGACUCACUCAAAGAACCAAGUGACUCACUCGAAGACAAGCUGUCCUCUCUUCCUCUUCCCUCUACUGCCACCCCCUCUUCAGCGUCAUCUUCACCUUGUUCGUCUUCACUCCCUUCUUCAUUGCUAUCUCCCCAUUCAAGCACAUCAAGUCUUACUUCUUCAUUACUCCUCCCCCAAUUCCAGCAUUUAUCUUCUUCGAAAACAACAUCUCUGCUUACAACUAUCUUCUUGGACACUGGAUCAUAAAGUCUAUAUGCUUUAGACUCUUCACUCAUCCCUAGCAACACACAUUGAAAGCUCUUAUCAUCUAGCUUCUUUCUCUUGUUAUCUGGCACAUGAACAUGGCCAAUGCAUCCAAAAACCCGAAAAUAAUCAACAUUGGGUUUAACACCACUCCAAGCCUCUUCAGGGGUCACGCCUUUUACUGCCAAUGUAGGACUUCUAUUGAGCACAUGAGCUGUCCAGUUCACUGCUUCUGGCCAGAAAUUCUUUGGGACUUGCUUCUCCGAUAACAUGCUUCUAACCAUGUUCAUGAUUGUCCUGUUCUUGCGCUCAGCUACUCCGUUUUGUUGAGGAGUAUAGGCUGCAGUGAGUUGCCUACUAAUACCAUUAGUUUUGCAAAAGGCAUUGAAUUCGAGAGAUGUGAACUCUCCACCCCUAUCUGUGCGCAAACAACAAAUAGAAGCUCCUGUCUCUUUCUCAACAAGAUUUUUGUAAUUCUUGAAGGUUUGAUGGGUCCACAAAUGUCAGCAUGUACCAACUGUAGCCUCUGUGAUGCUCUCCACAAGCUCCUCUUUGGAAUUGCGUCCCUGUGUUGCUUUCCCACCAUGCAAUCAGUGCAUACUUUGGAUGAUGCUUUCAGCUGUGAACCUCGAACUCCCUUCGAAGUGCUUGAAGUUGUGCCCUUUUGACUCUUGUGGAACCUUGAUACUUCUGCUUCAUAGAGUCCCAGAUAUGCUUACCAGACUCUUUAUUGAGGAUGGUCUCCAUAAUGUUUCGAUCUAUGGCUUGGAACAGAUAAUUCUUAACCUUCAAGUCUUUCAGCUUGUGAUCUGCAAUUGCCUUCUGUUGAGCUUCAGUAGGCUCUAUUCCUUCUGCUGCAGCAGGGAUUCCAUUCUCCACCAAGCUCCAAUACUCCUUUGAACGAAGAAAAUUUUCCAUAAGCAUAGACCAAUGAUCAUAAUGGCCAUCGAACUUAGGAAUUGCAGGUUGAACAAAGUUACUACUUUCAGCUGCCAUACUUUGAUCACUCUUUCUCUUAUCUUACUCUCUUUUUACUCUUUCUCUCUACAAGAAACUGCGGUUUCUUUUCUCUCAUAAUCAGGCCCCAUGAUGGGGCUCUGAUACCAGAUUGUUGUAAACUAUAGACAUAAUGCAAUUCACUCACAAUAUGAGAAUGAGUCUUAUUCAAAUCAAAACAAGCUACAGCUUAUAUAAGCCUUACAAAAGAGAUUAAAAAGGAAACAAACAGCCCACGUAAGAACGUGGUAAAUGGCUAAGGAAAUAGUCAAAUCCUACCAACAUGUCCCAAAAACUAGGAACUAUUAACAGAAUGAAAUUCUAACAACUUUGACUACUUUAACUGAACAUCCCAACAUAUUUUACAUAGAAAUGAAUCUAUCCCCACAACGUAAUGCAAAAAGCACUCCCGAAACACUAAAUAACGGAGGCUGCAUGAGUGCAGUGCCUCCGCCAAAAGAGUUCCUAGUCUCACCAGUCUGAUCCAGAGGGAAAUUCUUCUAGCCAGGCUUCCCAAGGGGAGAACUCUUCAGCUGGUGGGGUAAGCACGUUUUCCUCUGAAACCAUCAGUGCUGGAGUCGAACCUUCAUUUGUAGCAUUCCCAUACAAAGAGCCAAGACCAGGAUGGGCUGCAUAGUUGUUGUAGUCUGAUCCAGAGGGAAAUUCUUCUAGCCAGGCUUCCCAAGGGGAGAACUCUUCAGCUGGUGGGGUAAGCACGUUUUCCUCUGAAACCAUCAGUGCUGGAGUCGAACCUUCAUUUGUAGCAUUCCCAUACAAAGAGCCAAGACCAGGAUGGGCUGCAUAGUUGUUGUAAACUGUUGGAUUCUCCAUAGCCUCAUAAUUGAAACCGCGUGUUUGACUGGGGAGAUCCUCCGCAGGGUCUGUUGAAAUUAGACCGAUUUCAUGGAGUGGUGUCUGAGAAGAAGAGGGAAUAUCCUUUUUCGAAAGCUUCUUCUUUAAACGGGUGUUAUAAUAGUUCUUGAUUUCAUUGUCAGUUCGGCGAUCAAGCACUCCCGCCAUCUUUGCCCAUCUGAAAGAACAAGACAAUCUCCUCAAAUGUAUGAAUUUUCAUAAUCGAAAAAGACGAACAAAAUCAGGAGAUUCCCAUUACUCGUUGCCAAUAAGAGAAUGGAGCUUCAUAAUGGAGUUCUCUUCGUCUUGAGAAAAGUUUCCCCUUUUGAUACCAGGCCUCAUAUAUUUGGUCCACCUCAACCAGCAACUCUUCCUACUCCUGUUCAGACCUGCAGCAUUUGGGACGUCUGUCCACCGUACACUUUUAUGAUCACGUUCCUUCAUAUAGCUCAAGAGUUUCUCAUCUUCUUCUGGAGUCCAGAAUCGGCGCUUCUUGAGCCCACUCUGCUCAUGUGCCUGCAGUGAUCCAGCCAUCAUGGAUUACCUGCAAAAGAUAGAAGAAAAGCUUAUGAAUUUUCCAUGAAAUGCUGAAAACGUUUGUACACAACUUCUGAAAGCUUACAGAUUUCACAAAUGCUUAAGAGUGGUAUGUGGCGGUUGCGGAGACAUCUAUUUAUAUUUCACCCAACUUGCAUCGAAAACAUGUAACAGCUCAGAUGAGUGGGGUCAAUUAGUUAUUUUAUUUACGUCUUGAAUCGACUUCCUACAUCCCUUUCUCGUUAAAAUUAUUGAA
Molecule: RNA transcript, 4398 nt
Organism: Vitis riparia (riverbank grape)
Lineage: Eukaryota; Viridiplantae; Streptophyta; Magnoliopsida; Vitales; Vitaceae
Exons: 3
Source: RefSeq, a predicted model, not a curated record